RNAcentral lists this ribosomal RNA (363 nucleotides) under uncultured Streptococcus sp. RNAcentral's name for it is "bacterial SSU rRNA". It matches the Rfam family "Bacterial small subunit ribosomal RNA", at positions 1018 to 1382 of the family's 1533-position model. The record is from RNAcentral. Lineage: Bacteria; Bacillati; Bacillota; Bacilli; Lactobacillales; Streptococcaceae.
CUUCGGUACAUCGGUGACAGGUGGUGCAUGGUUGUCGUCAGCUCGUGUCGUGAGAUGUUGGGUUAAGUCCCGCAACGAGCGCAACCCCUAUUGUUAGUUGCCAUCAUUCAGUUGGGCACUCUAGCGAGACCGCCGGUAAUAAACCGGAGGAAGGUGGGGAUGACGUCAAAUCAUCAUGCCCCUUAUGACCUGGGCUACACACGUGCUACAAUGGUUGGUACAACGAGCUGCGAGUCGGUGACGGCGAGCUAAUCUCUUAAAGCCAACCUCAGUUCGGAUUGUAGGCUGCAACUCGCCUACAUGAAGUCGGAAUCGCUAGUAAUCGCGGAUCAGCACGCCGCGGUGAAUACGUUCCCGGGCCUU